This 429-nucleotide ribosomal RNA is filed under the name Gemmatimonadota bacterium. Its description in RNAcentral is "Gemmatimonadetes bacterium partial 16S ribosomal RNA". It matches the Rfam family "Bacterial small subunit ribosomal RNA", at positions 355 to 776 of the family's 1533-position model. The record is from RNAcentral. Lineage: Bacteria; Pseudomonadati; Gemmatimonadota.
UAGGGAAUCUUCGGCAAUGGACGAAAGGCUGACCGAGCAACGCCGCGUGAGUGAAGAAGGUUUUCGGAUCGUAAAACUCUGUUGCUAGAGAAGAACAAGGACGUUAGUAACUGAACGUCCCCUGACGGUAUCUAACCAGAAAGCCACGGCUAACUACGUGCCAGCAGCCGCGGUAAUACGUAGGUGGCAAGCGUUGUCCGGAUUUAUUGGGCGUAAAGCGAGCGCAGGCGGUUUCUUAAGUCUGAUGUGAAAGCCCCCGGCUCAACCGGGGAGAGUCAUUGGAAACUGGGAGACUUGAGUGCAGAAGAGGAGAGUGGAAUUCCAUGUGUAGCGGUGAAAUGCGUAGAUAUAUGGAGGAACACCAGUGGCGAAGGCGGCUCUCUGGUCUGUAACUGACGCUGAGGCUCGAAAGCGUGGGGAGCAAACAGG